RNAcentral lists this long non-coding RNA (200 nucleotides) under Elaeis guineensis (African oil palm). RNAcentral describes it as "long non-coding RNA (EGUI_LNC014632)". Lineage: Eukaryota; Viridiplantae; Streptophyta; Magnoliopsida; Arecales; Arecaceae. The record is from RNAcentral.
AAGGGGCUAUUGUGCUGAAAUUUCUGUAUACUAUUCACUUACUAUUGUAUUUUGGGUUUUGAAUUUUGAAGGAUUUCAAAACUUGGAUAGAUUAAUCCAAACCUGAAAUCAGAGUAUGUAUGGGUUGACUUGUAUCCAAAAAAUAAAUGUUCUUACUUGGAUAGCAAGGAUCGGUGUUAUCUGAUAUUUUGUAUCUUGUA